GUUCUGGAUUAGGGAAUUGGAAUCCAGCAAGAAAGCAUAGCAUGGAUUUGAAUUAAUAACCAAUUCAUAUAUUUUUGAGAGCCCUAAAUCAUAAUGUAUUUUCAUUUUGUGAAACUGCUUUCCAAAACUCCAGUGAGAAAAUCUCGUCGGCAUGCCGUAAGCUCCAAAUGUAUAAAUGAUAUCAGCCGGACAGAUCUCAUAACGCAUCGGGUAAAAGUCGAGCCCAAAUCCUUUCGCAAUUUCCGUUAUUUCCUCAAUUGCAUAUUCGAGGG
Molecule: non-coding RNA, 272 nt
Filed under: Bacillus methanolicus MGA3
Lineage: Bacteria; Bacillati; Bacillota; Bacilli; Caryophanales; Bacillaceae
Source: RNAcentral